This 200-nucleotide ribosomal RNA is filed under the name uncultured eukaryote. RNAcentral's name for it is "partial 18S ribosomal RNA". It matches the Rfam family "Eukaryotic small subunit ribosomal RNA", at positions 589 to 795 of the family's 1831-position model. The record is from RNAcentral.
CUCCAAUAGCGUAUAUUAAAGUUGUUGCAGUUAAAACGCUCGUAGUCGGAUUUCGGGGCGGGCCUGCCGGUUUGCCGAUGGGUAUAUACUGGUGGGUGCGUCCUUCCUUCCGGAGACCGCGCCUCCUCUUAACUGAGCGGGCGUGGGAGACGGAUCGUUUACUUUGAAAAAAUCAGAGUGUUUCAAGCAGGCAUUUCGCU